GCAAAGUGUCGCAAAUGGCUUGUGCUUUUCCUCCGAAGGCAGAGGUCACACGUUCGAAUCGUGUCGGGUGCGCCA
This 75-nucleotide transfer RNA is filed under the name Cereibacter azotoformans. RNAcentral describes it as "Luteovulum azotoformans tRNA-Arg". The record is from RNAcentral. Lineage: Bacteria; Pseudomonadati; Pseudomonadota; Alphaproteobacteria; Rhodobacterales; Paracoccaceae.